Molecule: long non-coding RNA, 8766 nt
Filed under: Cricetulus griseus (Chinese hamster)
Lineage: Eukaryota; Metazoa; Chordata; Mammalia; Rodentia; Cricetidae
Description: lncRNA (ENSCGRG00015031031.1)
Source: RNAcentral
GCACGCCCUUUCCUCGGAUCGCUAGAGAAGGCAACUUUUCUCACUGAGGGCGGGACGGACCCGACCCGGCGAGCUCCCGGCCGCGGUGGCCAAGGGCAGCGUGCGUGCGUGCGGGGGUACAGCGUGCACACUCAAACCCCGUCACAGAGUAUAAACGGGCAAGCCACGAGCGAGCGUUUGAGGGGGGGCCCCGCGGUAUCGGUAAAGGCUUUUUUUCUCUUUACCAGGGUUCACAUUGAGCACUCGCGGACAGGGGUACCGGGGCCAAGAAAAAGGCACCCCCGGACAAGCCAGGCCUCUCAAACCCACCUCCGGGCGAACGGCGGUGAGCCAAAUUAACGGGCUUAAGAUACACUUAAGCACAAAAAAGGCCGGCCGCGAACGCUCGACACCAACCGACGCACGAGCCUACGGGAGAAGGCCCAAGUACGUGGCGGGCGCUCACCCAAAGCGGGAAGAGAUGCCACACACACAUGCGGACGUCCCGGGGAAACGCCGCAAGAGAACUCUUACCCGCCUGAAACCACUUUCUCGACCCCCCACAAACGACACCUCGCAAAACCAGAGCGGCACGGACCCCCGUCGACAAAGAGCCGGGAACGACAACACACGCCACCGAGGCCAGACCGAGCACGCAGGAGGCAGCACGCCAGGGAGCGGGAAGCGACGCCGCCGCUCAGAAACGGGCACCUUCGAGGUCAAGCCUGGAGCGCUCCAGGAGCACCGCGAGGAUAGCGAGCGAGACACGUGCACACGCCAGUCGGGAAGGGCAUGCAGCACGGCAGACCACGCGAGCCGCGCCAGGGGCAACCUGGCAACGUCGCAAGAACCCCACGAACCACAGCGACAAGUGCGGGGAUUGACAGGGUUCAGACCGGAUAACCGCACCCCUGCCUUCCACACACCACCAAACGGUGGGGAGGAGAGGCGAGGGGCCCGCUGGCAGAACGAGAAGAGCGGCCGCCAUUCGCCAUGAAUGUCCGUCCCUCGCCUGGCGCGGCUUAGGCUCCGGCCCGAAGAGAGCUUGAGAGUACCACAUCGAUCCAGAGAAAACCGGAGAGACCGCCUUUUUUUAAGGCCAACUUGGAGCGAGCAAGACGGGAGAAGCGAGCGAGCGAGCGUGAACGAGAAACGGGAGAGAGCCAAUACACCACCACCAUAUAGGGGGAAAAAAAAAAAAAGCCAUCAAAAAAACCACGGAAAAAAACAAAGCACCGACGCCCUCGGAGCAAGAAAAGCAAAAGCUUUAAUACUGUGGGCACAAAAAAGCAGGUGCACUCGGGAGGCACAGCCCUGACGGCUUCCCCUGGUGAGAACUCGGGAGCUCCAGAGAAGGGGAAAAAAAAAAAAAAAAAAAAAAAAAAAAAAAAAAAAAAACACCGCCCAUGGUCAGGAAGGAACAAACACGAGGCCUUCUCUCAAAAGACCGCGGCUCCCACCAUCCCAAAGAAACGGCACGGGUGACAACUGCAAAGCGGGCACGCCUGACACGCAAAAGGGCCACUCGCAGGGAGACAGGCAUAGCAUACGGUAAAAGUACUGUGGCCGUCCCCCCCGCGUCUCUCCAUGUACCGAGAAGCCCCAAGGGGCAAGAGGCUGGACCGGACGGAGGAACCCAGUGGCACUCGAGGAACCAGAAAAAGCCCGAGAGCAGUCCUUUACUAAUGUCACCCACUCACAAGACAAGCGUGUCAGUACCUAUCUGCAGGUACAAAGAGAGCAGAUUGCAAAACUGGAAUAUGAUGACAGUGUAGCGGUGAUAAAUUCACAGACCACACGGAAAUUCUGGAAGUCGGGACCGGCGAAGUGCCCCAAAUAUUGUCCCAAUCAACGAGAGAACCGAACAUCAAAGCAACAACUGGUCGACCUCAUAACCGUGAUAGGACCAAGAGCGAGGUAGACAUGCAGAAAAGAUCGGCACACACCGGCAUCCUCUCGGGCAAGGACCCGGAGGGCAGGAGCCCGGGAUGGGAGGACACGUCGAAGAAAAACAAAGUCUGACCCUACAAGGAACCGGGAACUAGCAGGCAGUGAGGCCGGAAACAGCGCCUCCUCUCGGCUUCGAGACGCCGAGACGACCGCUGGGGACCGAGGGCUUCCGCAGAAGGAAAAGUUCCGAGGCACCCAGAGAAUCCCGGGCCCCGGCCCGCUAGUGAAUCCGGGAACAGCGCUUCCUCUCGGCCUCGGGUCGCCGAGACCACCGCCGGGGACCGACCGAGGGUGGCUACCGCACGCACACAAGAUAAAAUGUUCCGAGGCACCCAGAGAAUCCCGGGCCCCGGCCCGCUAGUGAAUCCGGGAACAGCGCUUCCUCUCGGCCUCGGGUCGCCGAGACCACCGCCGGGGAUCGACCGAGGGUGGCUACCGCACGCACACAAGAUAAAAUGUUCCGAGGCACCCAGAGAAUCCCGGGUCCCGGCCCGCUAGUGAAUCCGGGAACAGCGCUUCCUCUCGGCCUCGGGUCGCCGAGACCACCGCCGGGGACCGAGGGUUAGUUACAGUUACGGGACGUGAAGGACUUUUAAAAGGCUUCUGGUCGACCAGCUCAAGCCGCCACCACACCUCCAUCUGGCCAUGGUAGCACACAGAACAGCCACCACCUUCUCGUUUAUUCUACCGGUACAACCUCCUGCACAGAGACCGUUCACAAACGUCGCACCGCCUCCGGGACACACCCGCCAGCGUGCCUGGAUUCUCGUCGCUCUGGUCGGCUGACUGCAGGCGAGUCACCGCCCUUGUCACCGAGCGCCCGGGGACCAGGCGUGUUGUAGCUUACUGCCGCCGCUAGGUGUCGCCCGACAGCCGUCUCGAUCCGAUCGUCCAAGAACCAACACAACAGAUCCACAACAGAUCGCAACCCUCCCGGCGGGCGGGAUUGGGGACACAAACACACAACAGGACAGGACGGGACAGGACAGGGCAGGGUACUCACCCCCUCACCCGAGUGAGUGAGGGCACAAACGCUGCCCGUCAACACGCCGGGACGUAGACUCGGGCCUACACCCUCAGCCGACGAAAGCGAAAGUUAAAGACACAAAGCUAGGAAAACAGGCGAAUCACUCUCUACCGGUAGUUUAUAAGACCAUGUGAGGCUACCAGCUGGCACGAUUAAGGGAGGGGGGAGGGGGCAGAUGGCAGCUCUGGGACAUUUUACCGGCUUGCUCCCGCUUUUGUGUUUUGCUGUUGUGUUUCUGGCUGGCUGCCGCUGCCGCCGCCGACCACCCACACCUACCUACACACACACCCCCACCGCCCCCCAGUUCUCAAACUAAAUAAUACCACCGAGUAAUUUUACCUUUCAAACAAAUCUAUCUAUCUUUUAAAUGUAUUAACUUUUUUUUUUUUUUUACAUUCCAAUCCAAGCGACCCCUCCUCCUGCUCCUCCCGGAUCUUCCCCCCCCCCCCCCCGGGUCUAGGCUGAGCAAGGAGGUAUUUCUCAAACCACAGACCGGGGUAGGUAGGGGUGGUGUCUUUGACAGUCCUGGCUAUCCUGGAACUCACACUCUGUAGACCAGUGUGCCCCGACUUGCGGGGUCCCACACACGAGCUCACACCCCGAUGAUCAAACUGCAACCCCCCCCCCACACACACACACACACAGGGACCUGAUAUAGGGGUGCCAAGCGGGGAGCUUGGCAGGAAGGGAGAGGUCGUUUGAGGCUGCUUGCCUGAUAACCAGGCUGAGGAAUGUCCCUGUGCAUGAGUCCUUGAGAGUGCAGGAGGUUAGCAAGGUCUCACACACAGGUGUGUGUGCAGGUGUUUAGAUAGUGGGUUAGAAGAGGGUAAGGAUUGGUAGGUCACCUGACCAUGAAAUGUGUCUUUUAUGAGCCUGAGUGUUAUGCAUCAGGGAGGAAAGGAUUGAAGGCAGCUAUCCUUUUCAUUAGAAUGAGUUAUCCUGGCAGCUUCUGCCCAAGUCUCUUACAGGUAGUUCCAUCCAAGGUUACUUUUGCCAUGGCCCCCUUUGGUAGACCAGGCCAUAGAUCUGCCUGCCUCUGCAUCCACCAAAGUGAGUGAGUGAGUGAGUGAGUGCUAGUGGGACUAAAGGCUUGUGAAGCACCACUGCCCUGCAGGAUUCCACAUUUUCAGUGACUUAGUCGGGAGAGCGGCCUGUGCACAUAGCCUCAGAAAUCAGUACGUAGACCAGACCUGCCUGCCUGCAAUUCACAGAGUUCCAAAACUUGUCUGUGUCUCCUAAAUGAUGGGAUUAAAGGCGUGCACCACCACACCUACCUGUUUGUUUCUGUGACUCUGGGGAAGGGAAGUUUUUAUCUGCCUGCCUGCCUGCCUGCCUGCCUGCCUGCCUGCCUGCCUGCCUACCUGCCUGCUUUUUCUGUUACUUUUUGUGCAUUAAAUUUAUUUUCAGACAGAUUUUAGUCAUGUGUCUCUGGUUCUCCUCUCUCUCUCUCUCUCUCUCUCUCUCUCUCUCUCUCUCUCUCUGUGUGUGUGUGUGUGUGUGUGUGUGUGUUUUGGCUAGUGACUUCACCAAGAUGGAAGCUAGCAUGUGACAUAAUUUUGAAGAUCCUUUUGUUCUCUGUGUUUCUCUAAAGGGUCAGAACUUAAAACCAAUUUUCCUGUGAAGGAUUGUGAGGAGGCUCUCCUGAUUGAGACAAACCACCAUACAGGGUUAGCUUCCUCUCUGGGGUGAGGGGUAAAUGAAGCAAGAAAGAAAAAAAAAAGGAAAUGAAGAAAGAAAGAAAAAAAGGAAAGGAAAGAAAGAAAAAGAAAUGUGAAUUUACAGACCAAGGGAAAGGAAAAGAAAAGAACAGGCCGGGUGUUGUUGGCACAGGCCUUCAAUCCCAGCAGCACUAGGUAGGCAGACACAGGAAGAUCUCUGUAAGUUUGAAGCCAACCUGGUCUACAGAGCAAGUUCCAGGACAGGGUCCAAAGCGAUAGAGGAACACCUGUCUCGAAAAACCAAAUUAAUUAACAACAACCACCACCACAACAACAACAAUAAUAAUAAAUAAAUAAAUAAAUAAAUAAAUAAAUAAAUAAAUAAAGCUCAUGUAAUUAUUUUAUGCACGAGUGCUCUAUCCACACCCGUGCACUUUCACCAGAAGAGGGCACCAGACCCCACCAUAUGUUUUCUGGAAAAUCUGGAAAUUCCACCUCUCUGGGCCCGAUUCUUUCCUGUUUUUUCCUUUGGUGGGUCGGUGCUUGCAUAUGUGGUGAGAGAGUGAGCACCUGUAUGGGGUGGGGGCAGGAGGCAUCCAGACGCUGUGUGCCUGUGGUUCCUGCAAUGGUAGCUCUAUUCAGGACCCUUUUGUUUUUUUUAAAAAAAAAAAAGGAAAGGGGAGAGAGAGAGAGAGAGAGAGAGAGAGAGAGAGAGAGAGAGAGAGGAGACAGAGAGAGACAGAGACAGAGACAGAGACAGACAGAAAGAAAGAAGGAAAGAAAAAGAAAGAAAGAAUCACUUUACAAUCAGUAUCCAGGAAUCUUCUCAUGCUGCCCCAAGUACCAACAACCUCCACAACUUGGUUUGUUCAGUGUAUGCACCUACUGCUAGACUUGCUCAGCUUUCCAAGCCAAAACCUGAGGCUUCAUCCCAUGCCCAGGCCAGGUUCCCCCAGCUUUUAUUCACUUAUUUUGGAUGUUUAUCUUCAUUAAUGACAGGUUAAUUAUUUUAACUUUAAUUGUUUUUUAUUUUGGGGGAGACAGAAGAUUUGGAUUCUCAGGAGUGGGCACAUACAAUAUAAUACGUACGUACAUACCUACGUACAUACAUACAUACAUUUGAAAGGUAAAAUUUCCUGGGAUGCUUCUAAUGCCAGCACUCAGGAGGCUGUGUCAGGGAGAUCUCUGUGAGUUUGAGGUCAGCCUGAAUUACAGAGUGAGUUCCAGGACAGCCAAGGUUGUCUUGAAAAGCCAAAAGAAAGGAGAGAGAGAGAGAGAGAGAGAGAGAGAGAGAGAGAGAGAGAGAGAGAAUAAUGAACAGAAUAACAAAAAUGCAGCAGUUUGGAGCAGGGAAUUUUGGCAAAUGCCUUUAAAGUCACCACUCUGAAGGCAAGAGCAUCUCUGAGUUGAUGGCCAACCUGGUGUACAGAUCGAGUGCCAGGACAUCCAGAGCUACACAGAGGAAACCUGUCUUGAAAAACUGAAAAUGCUAUCUCCCUGCACAAAAUCUAACUCUAAAUGGGAAACCUUCUAAACUGAAACUGUGAGCAGAUGAGAGUACCCUUUAAGUAAAAAGAAAGAAAAAUUCACAACUACUUGUUUGAUGUGGAUUUUGGAAACCUCGAAGUGAAGUAGAGUAACUGAUACCCACUCUUAUUGUUUAGGCCAGACUGGUAUUUGAGAUAGCUUGGUGGGUCCUUCUAACUCAGCCCCAUCUGCUUGAGCUACAGAUUACUUAAGCUUAGAUCCUGAAGCGGUCCACUUUUUAGAUCAAUACCAGGAAAAAGGAAGAAAGAAAAAAGAAAGGAGGGAGGGAGGGGAGAGAGAGACAGAGAGAGAGAGAGAGAGAGAGAGAGAGAGAGAGAGAGAAUAUUAGAGCUGUUGUGUAAAUGAGAGCUAGAACCCCUUGAAUUUCCCUAUUUUUAACUUUUACCUUACCUGUGGAAUUACCCAGAUCAUGCUAAAAAAAAUAGAGGAUGGGACCCAAGGCCAAGGAAAGAAAACUAACAAAGCAAAACAAACAAACAAACAACAAAAAAAAAAUCAUACAAUCCUAAUUUGACACAUUGUCCCUCCUGUGUAGUUUGGAUUCAACUUUCCAUUAUGAAGUAAAUUUUACAAAGGCAAGCCAGCUGCCUCUGUGCGGGCAGGCAGUCAGUCAGUCAGUCAGUCAGUCAGUCAGUCAGUCAGUCAAAAACUAGGGCCUGCCUGCACAGAUCUAUCUAAGCCAGAUGGGGCACCAGUGCUGAGAAGGGCAAUGGACAGAAGCCUAACCCAGAAUUUAGCUCCAGUUGAUAACCACUUGAGAAGGAAAUAUUAUUUUUCUACAACAAGAGUCUUACUGAGUCUUCUAACAAACCACUUGGCUGGGUGGGUGGUGGAAGGAGUUGUGGGCAGGGAAACUCUGAUCAGAAUACAUUGUAGGAAAUUUUAAAAAGAAAGAAAGAAAGAAAGAAAGAAAGAAAGAAAGAAAGAAAGAAAGACACAGAGAAACAGAAAGAAAGAAAGAAAGAAGGAAAGAUCAUCCCCACCCCAUCCCCCCCGAAACAAAACUAAAAGACAAGCUGGGCAGAGGUGACACAUGACUUUAAUCCCAGAUCUCACUAGGGGAGGCAGAGACCGGUGAAUCUUUCUGUGUUGGAGGUCAGCCUGUUCUCCAGAGUGAGUUCUGGGACAGGUUCCAAUGACACAGAGAAACCCUGUCUCGAAAAAAACCAACCAAACAACAACACAGGUGAACUUUGUGACUGUAAGCAUUCCUUUUCUGCAUAUCCAACCACUCUCAUCUAGCUAGUGAGCAAUUCUGUCCCAGCAGCUCUAACCCUAUCCUGAAUGCCCCAGGUAAAUUCUGUAGUCAAGCCUUACAAAUCCUUCAUUUCCGAAGGGUAUUCUUGGUAAAACCAAAACUUUGGAUGGUGCCUAAUGGAGGAAGCAGCAGCAGCAGCAGCAGCAGCAGCAGCAGCAGCAGCAGCAGCAGCACAGAUAGAUAGAUAAAUAAAUAAAUAAAUAAAUAAAUAAAUAAAUAAAUAUGAAUUUUUAAAAAGCAACAUUAUUAUUAACAAGUAUUAGCUUACAAAGAGAUGAGGCCUUCCUUUGGCUUAGCGUCACAUAGAGGAGAGGCAUUAAUUUGCAGAAGGAAGACUGACUGCGGGGGCCAGGGAGAUGAUGAGGCCUUUCUUCCAACUGCCAUAAUUCAUGUUGUCAUUUGCAACAGGGCCUCAAAUACAAUUCUCUACCUAAUAUGAAAAUUAAUGUCUUUUAGAGAAACAUUUUUUAUAAUUCUAAUUUUGGUUAAUAAAGGUUUAAGAAUUUAAAAAAAAAAAAUUUCUCUUCCUGAUACCAUUCUGUCAAAGCCAUCAUGUGUCACAUGCUGUAUGGAGGCAAGGGAGUCAGGGAGAGGAAGGGGGAGCGAGGGAGCGGAGCGGCACAGCCAUCUCUGUUAGGAAAUGGUGAGCGAAAGUCACAAGGCCAGCACAGCACAGCUGUCUGCUUGACAAAAUCCAUCAAAGCUGAACCCUGUGAUGGCCGCCACGCUACGUUUGGUUUUUCAUCUCCACCUGUUACAUACAUACAUACAUACAUACAUACAUACAUACAUACAUACAUACUUGGGAGACUUUUAAUAUUUGUAUGAUUUAAGGAUAUCAGCAGAUUCAUGGAAAAUUUCUUCCUCCCAGAAUUACUGCUUCUAACUUUCACCGAGAAAGUCCUAGACACACCACCCCUCCCGCUUUUAGGGAGAUAUAUAUCCUUAUCUACUUGGAGGUUUGGAUUUGACGCAAAGAAAGAAGCCAGAGGUCUCUUCAUGAGGCCACAAGGGGACACUCUUGCUUGAAACAUCUGUUGUCCCUGUACUUACACAGGAACAAGAUACUCAAAGAAGAAAAACUCAAAAACUGGUCUAAAAGAUUUGUUGAGACAGAGCAAUUGCCAAGGGCCAAGGGAGGAACCUGUGGCCCUUCCAUUAACAUACGACUGUUGCCUAUUGUCAAGGUCAAGGAUAGAUUUCUCAACUCCCUAUCUCAAAGCCACACCCCAGCUGCCAAGCCCCUUGUCUCCCAUUGAAUCCUAUGUGUGUCCAAGUGUACAGUCUUAAAAGGUUUUGGUUUGUGUGUGGGGGGGGGUAGGGUUGGUUGGUUUUUUUUUUGGGGG